This 449-nucleotide ribosomal RNA is filed under the name uncultured bacterium. RNAcentral describes it as "partial 16S ribosomal RNA". It matches the Rfam family "Bacterial small subunit ribosomal RNA", at positions 29 to 523 of the family's 1533-position model. The record is from RNAcentral.
AACGAACGCUGGCGGCAUGCCUAACACAUGCAAGUCGAACGAAGCCUUCGGGCUUAGUGGCGCACGGGUGCGUAACGCGUGGGAAUCUGCCCUUUGGUUCGGAAUAACAGUUGGAAACGACUGCUAAUACCGGAUGAUGACGAAAGUCCAAAGAUUUAUCGCCAGAGGAUGAGCCCGCGUAGGAUUAGCUAGUUGGGGUGGUAAAGGCGCACCAAGGCGACGAGCCUUAGCUGGUCUGAGAGGAUGAUCAGCCACACUGGGACUGAGACACGGCCCAGACUCCUACGGGAGGCAGCAGUGGGGAAUAUUGGACAAUGGGCGAAAGUCUGAUCCAGCAAUGCCGCGUGAGUGAUGAAGGCCCUAGGGUUGUAAAGCUCUUUUACCCGGGAUGAUAAUGACAGUACCGGGAGAAUAAGCCCCGGCUAACUCCGUGCCAGCCGCCGCGGUAA